AUUUUCUGUAUCGAUUCCUCUGUUGAAGGGCAUCUGGGUUCUUUCCAGCUUCUGGUUAUUAUAAAUAAGGCUGCGAUGAACAUAGUGGGAGCACGUGUCUUUUUUUAUAUGUUGGGGCAUCUUGUGGGUAUAUGCCCAAGAGAGGUAUAGCUGGACCCUCACGUAGUUCAAUGUCCAAUUUUCUGAGGAACCUCCAGACUGAUUUCCAGAAUGGUUUUACCAGUUUGCAAUCCCACCAACAAUGGAGGAGUGUUCCUCAUUCUCCACAUCCUCGCCAGCAUUUGUUGUCACCUGAGUUUUUGAUCUUAGCCAUUCUCACUGGUGUGAGGUGAAAUCUCAGGGUUGUUUUGAUUUGCAUUUCCCUUAUGACUAAAGAUGUUGUACAUUUCUUUAGGUGUUUCUCAGCCAUUCGGCAUUCCUCAGCUGUGAAUUCUUUGUUUAGUUCUGAACCGCAUUUUUUAAUAGGGUUAUUUGUCUCCCUGCGGUCUAACUUCUUGAGUUCUUUGUAUAUUUUGGAUAUUAGCCCUCUAUCAGUUGUAGGAUU
This 544-nucleotide long non-coding RNA is filed under the name Rattus norvegicus (Norway rat). Its description in RNAcentral is "long non-coding RNA NONRATT031008". Lineage: Eukaryota; Metazoa; Chordata; Mammalia; Rodentia; Muridae. The record is from RNAcentral.